RNAcentral lists this ribosomal RNA (177 nucleotides) under Enterobacter ludwigii. Its description in RNAcentral is "partial 23S ribosomal RNA". It matches the Rfam family "Bacterial large subunit ribosomal RNA", at positions 1 to 179 of the family's 2925-position model. The record is from RNAcentral. Lineage: Bacteria; Pseudomonadati; Pseudomonadota; Gammaproteobacteria; Enterobacterales; Enterobacteriaceae.
GGUUAAGCGACUAAGCGUACACGGUGGAUGCCCUGGCAGUCAGAGGCGAUGAAGGACGUGCUAAUCUGCGAAAAGCGCCGGCGAGGUGAUAUGAACCUUUGACCCGGCGAUGUCCGAAUGGGGAAACCCAGUGUGUUCCGACACACUAUCGUUAACUGAAUACAUAGGUUAACGAGG